UUAAAGAUUAAAAUAGAGUUUACAAAUUAAAAAAUGUCAACACAAAGUAAACUUUAUACUUUGUGAGCUGAGCAGGUGGCCAGCUUGCCGCCCAGCUGCUCAGCCUGGCACCAAUGGCUUGUCCUGCACCAGUGCUUGGCAUGGGGUCAGGAGGACAGUUUGGGAAGAGUCUCCAGCAGACCGGCGUGCCUGGUCUCACAGAUGACUUCCCAACCCCGUGCCAAUGGGAAACCAACAGAGGCAAGUGGCCAGGGUGGAGAGCCUGGGAGGCAGAGCAGGUGGCCCUGGCACAGCAGGUCUGGCCCUGCUUCUCUUCACUGGCUGAUGUGCAGACAUUUAUUAGUAAAUCUUCACGGCGGUCUAGGGAGUGACAGCAUCCUCUGGAAUAUUUCAACUACAAAAGGCCUUUGACUGAGCGCUGUUCAUCGAGUCCAGCCCCGGCUUUGCAAAUAAACAGCUGACACCAAGAGAGGAGAAGCAACACGGCUGAGGCCACAGGGUGACAAAGCCUUAACAGCAAGAAGGGGAGAAGGCAGUCAUCUGGAAACGAGGAAGACAGCCCUCACCAGAAACUGACACUGUUGGACCUCGAUCUUGGACUUGCAGCCUCUAGAAUUGCAAGAAAAUAAAUUUAAGCUGUGGACUCUGUUA
Homo sapiens (human) is the source of this 651-nucleotide long non-coding RNA. RefSeq lists it as uncharacterized. NCBI's taxonomy places the organism in Eukaryota, Metazoa, Chordata, Mammalia, Primates, Hominidae. The record is from RefSeq and is a predicted model, not a curated record. The transcript is spliced from 4 exons.